AGCUUUGCACAGUGGCAGUAUUGUAGCCAAUGAGGUUUAGCCAAGGCGUGAUUAUUGCUAAUUGAAAACUAUUCCCAAUACCCCGCUAUGAUGACUUGAAAUAUAGUCGGCGUUGGCAAUUUUUGGCAGUCUCUACGGAGA
This 141-nucleotide small nuclear RNA is filed under the name Aotus nancymaae (Ma's night monkey). Its description in RNAcentral is "U4 spliceosomal RNA (ENSANAG00000005268.1)". It matches the Rfam family "U4 spliceosomal RNA". Rfam says of the family: U4 small nuclear RNA (U4 snRNA) is a component of the major U2-dependent spliceosome. The structure of U4 snRNA from yeast and human has been reported. The record is from Rfam by way of RNAcentral. Lineage: Eukaryota; Metazoa; Chordata; Mammalia; Primates; Aotidae.